UACGGAGGGGGCUAGCGUUGUUCGGAAUUACUGGGCGUAAAGCGUGCACAGGCGGUUUUGUAAGACAGAGGUGAAAUCCCCGGGCUCAACCUGGGAACUGCCUUUGUGACUGCAAGGCUUGAGUGCGGCAGAGGGGGAUGGAAUUCCGCGUGUAGCAGUGAAAUGCGUAGAUAUGCGGAGGAACACCGAUGGCGAAGGCAAUCCCCUGGGCCUGCACUGACGCUCAUGCACGAAAGCGUGGGGAGCAAACAGG
RNAcentral lists this ribosomal RNA (253 nucleotides) under uncultured bacterium. RNAcentral describes it as "partial 16S ribosomal RNA". It matches the Rfam family "Bacterial small subunit ribosomal RNA", at positions 524 to 776 of the family's 1533-position model. The record is from RNAcentral.